Molecule: long non-coding RNA, 438 nt
Organism: Penaeus monodon (black tiger shrimp)
Lineage: Eukaryota; Metazoa; Arthropoda; Malacostraca; Decapoda; Penaeidae
Exons: 3
Source: RefSeq, a predicted model, not a curated record
GCUGCUCGUCUCCUUCAAGCCAGCGACCAAAGUUUCCCGCACGGCCGUCUUGGAAUCGUCUCGCGUGCCCUCCUCCCGGCCCUCGUGUCUGCCGUCUGUCUGUUUCUGUGUGUCCAGCAAGCCAGUCGAAAUAAGCCCUUGGUGACGCCAGGCUCCAGUACUAUGGAAGAGGAGCUCGGUUGUGCCUGCAGUUGACGUGUAUCACUUAUCUCCCAGCAAGUCUCCUGCUAGUAGAGCUAGUAGUUCCUAGUUCCCCCUACUCUUGCUAGCAGAACUUAAUAUUCCCAGGGGAGUAUUUAAGGAAGAGACGCGAGACCAGCCUUCGCAAAUAUCCCUCGCCACAAACAACGCAGAAAGCGAGGAAGCUCCAGCGCCUUCGGGUAAAUCUCGUACGUGCAACGCCGGCCUCGAGGUCUCCAAAAAAGGUUUAAAUUUUAU